AUUGAACGCUGGCGGCAUGCCUUACACAUGCAAGUCGAACGGUAACAGGUCUUCGGAUGCUGACGAGUGGCGAACGGGUGAGUAAUACAUCGGAACGUGCCUAGUAGUGGGGGAUAACUACUCGAAAGAGUGGCUAAUACCGCAUGAGAUCUACGGAUGAAAGCAGGGGAUCGCAAGACCUUGUGCUACUAGAGCGGCCGAUGGCAGAUUGGGUAGUUGGUGGGAUAAAAGCUUACCAAGCCGACGAUCUGUAGCUGGUCUGAGAGGACGAUCCGCCACACUGGGACUGAGACACAGCCCAGACUCCUACGGGAGGCAGCAGUGGGGAAUUUUGGACAAUGGGCGAAAGCCUGAUCCAGCAAUGCCGCGUGCAGGAUGAAGGCCUUCGGGUUGUAAACUGCUUUUGUACGGAACGAAAAGCCCCGGGUUAAUACCCUGGGGUCAUGACGGUACCGUAAGAAUAAGCACCGGCUAACUACGUGCCAGCAGCCGCCGUAA
Molecule: ribosomal RNA, 498 nt
Filed under: uncultured bacterium
Lineage: Bacteria
Description: partial 16S ribosomal RNA
Rfam family: Bacterial small subunit ribosomal RNA
Source: RNAcentral